Molecule: ribosomal RNA, 433 nt
Filed under: uncultured bacterium
Lineage: Bacteria
Description: partial 16S ribosomal RNA
Rfam family: Bacterial small subunit ribosomal RNA
Source: RNAcentral
AACGAACGCUGGCGGCAUGCCUAACACAUGCAAGUCGAGCGAGACCUUCGGGUCUAGUGGCGCACGGGUGCGUAACGCGUGGGAACCUGCCCUUAGGUUCGGAAUAACUCCCCGAAAGGGGUGCUAAUACCGGAUAAUGUCUUCGGACCAAAGAUUUAUCGCCUUUGGAUGGGCCCGCGUUGGAUUAGCUAGUUGGUAGGGUAAAAGCCUACCAAGGCGACGAUCCAUAGCUGGUCUGAGAGGAUGAUCAGCCACACUGGGACUGAGACACGGCCCAGACUCCUACGGGAGGCAGCAGUGGGGAAUAUUGGACAAUGGGCGAAAGCCUGAUCCAGCAAUGCCGCGUGAGUGAUGAAGGCCUUAGGGUUGUAAAGCUCUUUUACCCGGGAUGAUAAUGACAGUACCGGGAGAAUAAGCGCCGGCUAACUCCGUG